GCCCUACUGGCGCAAUGGCUAGCGUGUGUGACUUCUAAAAGAAACAAAAAACGUCUUUUAAAAGCUAUCACAAGGUUGCGAGUUCGAGUCUCGCGUGGGGUU
Molecule: non-coding RNA, 102 nt
Organism: Xylariaceae sp. AK1471
Lineage: Eukaryota; Fungi; Ascomycota; Sordariomycetes; Xylariales; Xylariaceae
Source: the annotation of a GenBank genome assembly